Long non-coding RNA from Oncorhynchus kisutch (coho salmon), 661 nucleotides. RefSeq lists it as uncharacterized. The record is from RefSeq and is a predicted model, not a curated record. The transcript has 5 exons. NCBI's taxonomy places the organism in Eukaryota, Metazoa, Chordata, Actinopteri, Salmoniformes, Salmonidae.
AUAUAUAGUGUAUAUACAGUGUAACACAUCGUUAAUGUCAUUGAAUAGCAUGUAUGACGCCCUUGAUGUCUUACAUCAUGUUACUAGAGAUUUUUUUACCUUCAUUUCCAUUCAAUGUUUUUCAUUCGAUUUUCAGCUCCUUUAUAGUGAGUUUAGUUAUAUCGACAUUUUGAGAGCCUACUGAUAUUGAUACUGACAUAGUCUUAUGUAAGAACCCUCUCCUGUGUUUCAGCUCUGCUUGAAGGGAAGAAAGAGGGCUUCAGCAACUUCCUGCACAAACUGGUGUCCGACCACCAAAUCUUUCAGCACCUAGACGCCCAGACCAUCCUGCUGCAGGAGAGCCUGAGAGAGGAGAGAGAAGAGAGGGAGAAGAGAGAAAGAGAGGAGAGAGAGGGGGGAACAUCCCGUCUGCCAAGUUUGCUGGAGGAGACUCGGGGGAAGCCUUCUGAUAUCCACUACCUGAAGGUCAUCUGCAAAGGAAGCUUUGGGACGGUGGUGUUAGCGAUACACAGACAGAGUGGAAGUAUGUACGCUUUAAAGGUUCUACAGGAACAGGUCAUACUGAGGAAGAAAGAAGUAUCUAUUAUUCCAUUCCAUUUCCGUUAUAUUCUAAUUCCAUUCCAUUCUAUUCCAUUCUAUUUCCGUUCCAUUCUAUUUCCAU